UACGUAGGGGGCAAGCGUUAUCCGGAUUUACUGGGUGUAAAGGGAGCGUAGACGGCAAUGCAAGUCUGGAGUGAAAGGCGGGGGCCCAACCCCCGGACUGCUCUGGAAACUGUUUUUCUUGAGUACUGGAGAGGCAGACGGAAUUCCUAGUGUAGCGGUGAAAUGCGUAGAUAUUAGGAGGAACACCAGUGGCGAAGGCGGUCUGCUGGACAGCAACUGACGCUGAGGCGCGAAAGCGUGGGGAGCAAACAGG
RNAcentral lists this ribosomal RNA (253 nucleotides) under uncultured bacterium. RNAcentral describes it as "partial 16S ribosomal RNA". It matches the Rfam family "Bacterial small subunit ribosomal RNA", at positions 524 to 776 of the family's 1533-position model. The record is from RNAcentral.